This 213-nucleotide unclassified non-coding RNA is filed under the name soil metagenome. RNAcentral's name for it is "partial internal transcribed spacer 1". The record is from RNAcentral.
ACCUUUCAAAUCAGGGUGCGGCGCGGCCCCCGAGGAGCGGAAACAAUCCUUGGGAGGUAUGCGGGGGCUUCGAGCCCCCCAUUUACGCACGCACGACUGCCAUCCUUACUUUACGAGCACCUUCUGUUCUCCCUCGGCGGGGCAACCUGCCGUGGAACCGAAUAAAACUCUUUUUGCAUCUAGCAUUACCUGUUCCGAAACAAACAAACGUUA